GGGGAUUUAGCUCAGUGGCAUAAGCGCCUGCCUUACAAGCAGGCGAUCCCCA
Molecule: transfer RNA, 52 nt
Filed under: Cavia porcellus (domestic guinea pig)
Lineage: Eukaryota; Metazoa; Chordata; Mammalia; Rodentia; Caviidae
Source: Rfam by way of RNAcentral